Molecule: transfer RNA, 70 nt
Filed under: Ictidomys tridecemlineatus (thirteen-lined ground squirrel)
Lineage: Eukaryota; Metazoa; Chordata; Mammalia; Rodentia; Sciuridae
Description: Spermophilus tridecemlineatus (thirteen-lined ground squirrel) tRNA
Rfam family: tRNA
About the family: Transfer RNA (tRNA) molecules are approximately 80 nucleotides in length. Their secondary structure includes four short double-helical elements and three loops (D, anti-codon, and T loops).
Source: Rfam by way of RNAcentral
GGGGAUAUAGCUCAGUUGGUAGAGUACUUGCCUUACAUGCAUAAGUCCCUGGAUUCAAUCCCCAGCACCA